AUGAAUAUCCUUAGCUGGAACUGUCGAAGGGCGGGGAACCCUCGGACAGUUCGUGAUCUUGUGAGCUUGGUGCAGGCUCAGUCCCCUAGUAUCGUCUUCCUUUGUGAAACUAGGCAGCCAAAAAAUAAAAUGAAGAGACUGCAUGCUCGUUUAGGUUUAAGAAGUUUUGAUGCUUUCGAUUGUAAUGGUCUUAGUGGUGGUCUUGCCUUGUAUUGGCAUGAUUCAGUGAGUCUUGAUGUAAAAGAAAUAAAUGAACGAUACAUUGAUGCGUAUGUGACUGAUGUGGCGGCAACACCACCCUUGCGGCUUACCUGCGUCUAUGGUGAGCCUCGGACGGAGGAUCGUCAUCGUAUG
This 354-nucleotide ribosomal RNA is filed under the name Triticum aestivum (bread wheat). RNAcentral describes it as "partial small subunit ribosomal RNA". The record is from RNAcentral. Lineage: Eukaryota; Viridiplantae; Streptophyta; Magnoliopsida; Poales; Poaceae.